UGGGGAAUCUUGGACAAUGGGGGCAACCCUGAUCCAGCAAUGCCGCGUGUGUGAAGAAGGCCUUCGGGUUGUAAAGCACUUUCAGUGGGGACAAACAAGACGGAGCUAACAUCUCCGUUUCUGAUGGUACCCAAAGAAGAAGCACCGGCUAACUACGUGCCAGCAGCCGCGGUAAUACGUAGGGUGCAGGCGUUAAUCGGAAUUACUGGGCGUAAAGCGUGCGCAGGCGGCUCCUUAAGUCAGAUGUGAAAGCCCCGGGCUUAACCUGGGAACUGCGUUUGAAACUGGGGAGCUAGAGUGUGGAAGAGGGGGGUGGAAUUCCAGGUGUAGCAGUGAAAUGCGUAGAGAUCUGGAGGAACACCGAUGGCGAAGGCAGCCCCCUGGGCUAACACUGACGCUCAUGCACGAAAGCGUGGGGAGCAAACAGGAUUAGAUACCCUGGUAGUCCACGCCGUAAACGAUGUGUGCUAGCCGUUGGGAAACCUAGUUUCUCGGUGGCGCAGCUAACGCGAUAAGCACACCGCCUGGGGAGUACGGUCGCAAGAUUA
This 548-nucleotide ribosomal RNA is filed under the name uncultured bacterium. Its description in RNAcentral is "bacterial SSU rRNA". It matches the Rfam family "Bacterial small subunit ribosomal RNA", at positions 355 to 896 of the family's 1533-position model. The record is from RNAcentral.